CCUACGGGCGGCAGCAGUGGGGAAUAUUGCACAAUGGGGGGAACCCUGAUGCAGCGACGCCGCGUGAGUGAAGAAGUAUUUCGGUGCGUAAAGCUCUAUCAGCAGGGAAGAAAAAAGGACGGUACCUGAGUAAGAAGCCCCGGCUAACUACGUGCAAGCAGCCGAGGUAAUACGUAGGGGGCAAGCGUUAUCCGGAAUUACUGGGUGUAAAGGGAGCGUAGACGGCAAUGCAAGUCCGGAGUGGAAGGCGGCAGCUCAACUGCCGAACUGCUCUGGAAACUGUAUGGCUUGAGUGCAGGAGGGGUGAGCGGAAGUCCUGGUGUAGCGGUGAAAUGCGUAGAUAUCAGGAGGAACACCGGUGGCGAAGGCGGCUUACUGGACUGUAACUGACGUUGAGGCUCGAAAGCGUGGGGAGCAAACAGGAUUAGAUACCCGGGUAGUC
RNAcentral lists this ribosomal RNA (442 nucleotides) under uncultured bacterium. RNAcentral's name for it is "partial 16S ribosomal RNA". It matches the Rfam family "Bacterial small subunit ribosomal RNA", at positions 338 to 795 of the family's 1533-position model. The record is from RNAcentral.